Coffea arabica (coffee) is the source of this 329-nucleotide non-coding RNA. The record is from RefSeq and is a predicted model, not a curated record. NCBI's taxonomy places the organism in Eukaryota, Viridiplantae, Streptophyta, Magnoliopsida, Gentianales, Rubiaceae.
AUUCUUAGCAAGAUGGCUCGUGAUAUUCUUGCAAUUCCAGCUACUACUGUGGCAUCGGAAUCAGCAUUUAGCGUUGGCGGAAGGGUAAUUGAUGAGACCCGUGCUGCUUUGCUUCCUGAUGUGGUCGAAGCUUUGAUAACAACUGGAGAUUGGUUACCUUUGAAAAAGAAAAGAAAAGUAUUUGGAGAAGAUUUGGGUGAUUCUUCUAAAGUUCCCAAGUUAGGGUGAUGUAUUUGAAAAAUUGUGAAACAUGAGAGCCAUGAAGACUAUUGUAAUCUACAGGACUUCAUUAGUUGGUUGAUGUAUUUGGAAUUUAUGUUUGAUUGGAC